AGAGUUUGAUCCUGGCUCAAGAUGAACGCUGGCGGCGUGCCUAACACAUGCAAGUCGAACGGAGCCUUAACCAUAGAAGCAGCCAGCUUGCUGGAAGCGGAAAAGGGAAAGGCUUAGUGGCGGACGGGUGAGUAACGCGUGGGUAACCUGCCCCAUACGGGGGGAUAACACUUAAAAAUAGGUGCUAAUACCGCAUAACAACAGAAAGCGCAUGCUUUUUGUUUGAAAACCAAGGUGGUAUGGGAUGGACCCGCGUCUGAUUAGCUGGUUGGCGGGGUAAAGGCCCACCAAGGCAACAAUCAGUAGCCGGCCUGAGAGGGUGGACGGCCACAUUGGGACUGAGACACGGCCCAAACUCCUACGGGAGGCAGCAGUGGGGAAUAUUGCACAAUGGGGGAAACCCUGAUGCACCGACGCCGCGUGAGUGAAAAAGUAAUUCGUUAUGUAAAGCUCUAUCAGCAGGGAAAAAAAUGACGGUACCUGAAUAAGAAGCCCCGGCUAACUACGUGCCAGCAGCCGCGGUAAUACGUAGGGGGCAAGCGUUAUCCAGAUUUACUGGGUGUAAAGGGAGCGUAGACGGCAGUGCAAGUCUGGAGUGAAGGGGCGGGGGCUCCCCCCCCGGACUGCUCUAGAAACUGUACGGCUGGGAGUGCAAGAGAGGUAAUUGCAAUUCCUAGUGUAGCGGGUGAAAUGCUUAUAUAUUAAGAAGGAACACCCAGCGGAGAAGGGCGGCUUUACUGGAAUUGUUAACUGACGUUGAGGCUUCAAAGGCGUGGGAG
This 779-nucleotide ribosomal RNA is filed under the name uncultured bacterium. RNAcentral's name for it is "bacterial SSU rRNA". It matches the Rfam family "Bacterial small subunit ribosomal RNA", at positions 8 to 768 of the family's 1533-position model. The record is from RNAcentral.